UUAGAGUCAAAAUAUUGAUAAAAUGCAUUUUAAAAUCAUGAUUGAAGGAAAUCAAAGUACUCAUCAAAGAUUCUGCAAAUUGGUUGUAAAUUAUGUGUUAAUUAAUAUGACAAGACUCCUAUAAUUACAAAAUCAAAUUAGGUGCUCUUGACGUAUACUCGUUCAUCUAUUAGAUUAUUUUCACCAAUCUUAUGGAAGACGAGAUCUUAUAUAAACUACAAAAUCUUAUUUAAACUUAAUAGUCUUGAAUAUAUGUACUACAAGAUAAAUUAAUAAGGAAAAGAAAAGGACUUUUCUUCAGCUUAUAGAAGCUCAAUAAACUCCUUACAUAUAUUUAUUUAAAAGAAUCGUGAAUUUUGAAUGAAAUCUUUUGUGAAAUAAAACAAAUGCAUAAAAAAAAAAUUCAUGAAUUGAUGAAAGCAUUUGACGGCCGUAUUUUUAGAAAAUUCCCAUAAAACGAAACACAUGGAAAAUGUACUUGUUAGUGAUUGUUGACACUUGAAAAGUAAUUUUAGACGAUUAGAAAAAGUAUAAAAAUAAUUUUCAUAUCCUCUUCAGUUAAUAUUAACUCCAUGUAAUCAUGCAUUCUUUUUAUGUAAAGUUCAUACUCUUUACGACUGAUAAAGAGCGUAGAUAUAAAUGAGUAUGAAUGCAUUAAAGAAUUGAAAAAUAAACUGUCGGCUUAUCCUCAUAAACCUAAAUUUCAGUUAAAAAAAGGUAUAAGUGUCAUUAUCAUAUCAAAAGUUUGAAGAUUUAGUUGGAAGCCUUGAGGGUCCAAUGCUAGUCGGAGAAUGAGAAAAAAAAUUUAAAAAGGAUGUGAAGUUCUAACAACUUUAUAUUGUGGUUAAGCAGAUUGUGUACACGAGAUGUCUAAGAUUUCAAAGUCAAAUUACUUGGCUACUCAUUGGAAUGGUGGGGUUGAAGUAUGAAGAAAAUAUUCAACACCCAUAAUGAUGAGAUUGACACUUUAUUUUUUCUGCAGAAGAUUAUUUUUCAUCACUGAGAUUUGAUA
This 1012-nucleotide long non-coding RNA is filed under the name Citrus x clementina. RNAcentral's name for it is "Citrus clementina (C. clementina) long non-coding RNA (CCLE_LNC005634)". The record is from RNAcentral. Lineage: Eukaryota; Viridiplantae; Streptophyta; Magnoliopsida; Sapindales; Rutaceae.